This 490-nucleotide ribosomal RNA is filed under the name uncultured bacterium. Its description in RNAcentral is "partial 16S ribosomal RNA". It matches the Rfam family "Bacterial small subunit ribosomal RNA", at positions 28 to 507 of the family's 1533-position model. The record is from RNAcentral.
GAUGAACGCUAGCUACAGGCUUAACACAUGCAAGUCGCGGGGCAGCAUGGGGGUUGCUUGCAAUCCCCGAUGGCGACCGGCGCACGGGUGAGUAACGCGUAUCCAACCUGCCCUUCGCCACGGGAUAACCCGGCGAAAGUCGGACUAAUACCGUAUGUUGUCCAUUGACGGCAUCCGAUUUGGACGAAAGGCUUGGCGGUGAGGGAUGGGGAUGCGUCCGAUUAGCCAGACGGCGGGGUAACGGCCCACCGUGGCUACGAUCGGUAGGGGUUCUGAGAGGAAGGUCCCCCACACUGGAACUGAGACACGGUCCAGACUCCUACGGGAGGCAGCAGUGAGGAAUAUUGGUCAAUGGGCGUAAGCCUGAACCAGCCAAGUAGCGUGCAGGAUGACGGCCCUAUGGGUUGUAAACUGCUUUUAUGCGGGGAUAAAGUGGCCCACGUGUGGGCUUUUGCAGGUACCGCAUGAAUAAGGACCGGCUAAUUCCGUG